RNAcentral lists this ribosomal RNA (497 nucleotides) under uncultured bacterium. Its description in RNAcentral is "partial 16S ribosomal RNA". It matches the Rfam family "Bacterial small subunit ribosomal RNA", at positions 28 to 507 of the family's 1533-position model. The record is from RNAcentral.
GAUGAACGCUGGCGGCGUGCCUAAUACAUGCAAGUCGAGCGAACAGACGAGGAGCUUGCUCCUCUGACGUUAGCGGCGGACGGGUGAGUAACACGUGGAUAACCUACCUAUAAGACUGGGAUAACUUCGGGAAACCGGAGCUAAUACCGUAUAAUAUAUUGAACCGCAUGGUUCAAUAGUGAAAGACGGUUUUGCUGUCACUUAUAGAUGGAUCCGCGCCGCAUUAGCUAGUUGGUAAGGUAACGGCUUACCAAGGCAACGAUGCGUAGCCGACCUGAGAGGGUGAUAGGCCACACUGGAACUGGGACACGGUCAAGACUACUACGGGAGGCAGCAGUAGGGAAUCUUCCGCAAUGGGCGAAAGCCUGACGGAGCAACGCCGCGUGAGUGAUGAAGGUCUUCGGAUCGUAAAACUCUGUUAUUAGGGAAGAACAAAUGUGUAAGUAACUAUGCACGUAUUGACGGUACCUAAUCAGAAAGCCACGGCUAACUACGUG